CCUACGGGAGGCAGCAGUCGGGAAUCUUCCACAAUGGGCGCAAGCCUGAUGGAGCAACACCGCGUGAGUGAAGGAGGGUUUCGGCUUGUAAAGGUCUGUUGUUGGAGAAGCACGUGCGUGAGAGUAACUGUUCACGCAGUGACGGUAUUAACCCAGAAAGUCCAGGCUAACUACGUGCCAGCAGCCGCGGUAAUACGUAGGUGGCAGGCGUUAUCCGGAUUUAUUGGGCGUAAAGCGAGCGCAGGCGGUUGCUUAGGUCUGAUGUGAAAGCCUUCGGCUUAACCGACGAAGUGCAUCGGAAACCGGGCGACUUGAGUGCAGAAGAGGACAGUGGAACUCCAGGUGUAGCGGUGGAAUGCGUAGAUAUAUGGAAGAACACCAGUGGCGAAGGCGGCUGUCUGGUCUGCAACUGACGCUGAGGCACGAAAGCAUGGGGAGCGAACAGGAUUAGAUACCCUUGUAGUC
RNAcentral lists this ribosomal RNA (465 nucleotides) under uncultured bacterium. RNAcentral's name for it is "partial 16S ribosomal RNA". It matches the Rfam family "Bacterial small subunit ribosomal RNA", at positions 338 to 795 of the family's 1533-position model. The record is from RNAcentral.